Molecule: ribosomal RNA, 440 nt
Filed under: uncultured bacterium
Lineage: Bacteria
Description: partial 16S ribosomal RNA
Rfam family: Bacterial small subunit ribosomal RNA
Source: RNAcentral
CCUACGGGAGGCAGCAGUAGGGAAUCUUGCUCAAUGGGGGAAACCCUGAAGCAGCAACGCCGCGUGGAGGAGGAAGGUUUUCGGAUUGUAAACUCCUUUUGUUAGAGAAGAUAAGGACGCUGUCUAACGAAAAAGCACCGGCUAACUCCGUGCCACCAGCCGCGGUAAUACGGAGGGUGCAAGCGUUACUCGGAAUCACUGGGCGUAAAGAGCGCGUAGGCGGGAUAGCAAUUCAGAUGUGAAAUCCUAUGGCUUAACCAUAGAACUGCAUUUGAAACUGGUAUUCUAGAGUAUGGGAGAGGUAAGUGGAAUUCUUGGUGUAGGGGUAAAAUGCGUAGAUAUCAAGAGGAAUACUCAUUGCGAAGGCGACCUGCUAGAACCUAACUGACGCUGAUGCGCGAAAGCGUGGGGAGCAAACAGGAUUAGAUACCCGGGUAGUC